Molecule: ribosomal RNA, 1426 nt
Filed under: Staphylococcus aureus
Lineage: Bacteria; Bacillati; Bacillota; Bacilli; Caryophanales; Staphylococcaceae
Description: bacterial SSU rRNA
Rfam family: Bacterial small subunit ribosomal RNA
Source: RNAcentral
GCUAUACAUGCAGUCGAGCGACAGAUAAGGAGCUUGCUCCUUUGAAGUUAGCGGCGGACGGGUGAGUAACACGUGGGUAACCUACCUAUAAGACUGGGAUAACUUCGGGAAACCGGAGCUAAUACCGGAUAACAUUUGAACCGCAUGGUUCUAAAGUGAAAGAUGGUUUUGCUAUCACUUAUAGAUGGACCCGCGCCGUAUUAGCUAGUUGGUAAGGUAACGGCUUACCAAGGCGACGAUACGUAGCCGACCUGAGAGGGUGAUCGGCCACACUGGAACUGAGACACGGUCCAGACUCCUACGGGAGGCAGCAGUAGGGAAUCUUCCGCAAUGGGCGAAAGCCUGACGGAGCAACGCCGCGUGAGUGAUGAAGGGUUUCGGCUCGUAAAACUCUGUUAUUAGGGAAGAACAAAUGUGUAAGUAACUGUGCACAUCUUGACGGUACCUAAUCAGAAAGCCACGGCUAACUACGUGCCAGCAGCCGCGGUAAUACGUAGGUGGCAAGCGUUAUCCGGAAUUAUUGGGCGUAAAGCGCGCGUAGGCGGUUUCUUAAGUCUGAUGUGAAAGCCCACGGCUCAACCGUGGAGGGUCAUUGGAAACUGGGAAACUUGAGUGCAGAAGAGGAAAGUGGAAUUCCAUGUGUAGCGGUGAAAUGCGCAGAGAUAUGGAGGAACACCAGUGGCGAAGGCGACUUUCUGGUCUGUAACUGACGCUGAUGUGCGAAAGCGUGGGGAUCAAACAGGAUUAGAUACCCUGGUAGUCCACGCCGUAAACGAUGAGUGCUAAGUGUUAGGGGGUUUCCGCCCCUUAGUGCUGCAGCUAACGCAUUAAGCACUCCGCCUGGGGAGUACGACCGCAAGGUUGAAACUCAAAGGAAUUGACGGGGACCCGCACAAGCGGUGGAGCAUGUGGUUUAAUUCGAAGCAACGCGAAGAACCUUACCAAAUCUUGACAUCCUUUGAAAACUCUAGAGAUAGAGCCUUCCCCUUCGGGGGACAAAGUGACAGGUGGUGCAUGGUUGUCGUCAGCUCGUGUCGUGAGAUGUUGGGUUAAGUCCCGCAACGAGCGCAACCCUUAAGCUUAGUUGCCAUCAUUAAGUUGGGCACUCUAGGUUGACUGCCGGUGACAAACCGGAGGAAGGUGGGGAUGACGUCAAAUCAUCAUGCCCCUUAUGAUUUGGGCUACACACGUGCUACAAUGGACAAUACAAAGGGCAGCUAAACCGCGAGGUCAUGCAAAUCCCAUAAAGUUGUUCUCAGUUCGGAUUGUAGUCUGCAACUCGACUACAUGAAGCUGGAAUCGCUAGUAAUCGUAGAUCAGCAUGCUACGGUGAAUACGUUCCCGGGUCUUGUACACACCGCCCGUCACACCACGAGAGUUUGUAACACCCGAAGCCGGUGGAGUAACCAUUUAUGGAGCUAGCCGU